RNAcentral lists this small nucleolar RNA (107 nucleotides) under Ricinus communis (castor bean). RNAcentral's name for it is "Plant small nucleolar RNA R71". It matches the Rfam family "Plant small nucleolar RNA R71". From Rfam's summary of the family: R71 is a member of the C/D box family of snoRNAs containing the C (UGAUGA) and D (CUGA) box motifs. Multiple nearly identical copies of this snoRNA have been identified in Arabidopsis, and it is thought to function as a 2'-O-ribose methylation guide for 18S ribosomal RNA. The record is from Rfam by way of RNAcentral. Lineage: Eukaryota; Viridiplantae; Streptophyta; Magnoliopsida; Malpighiales; Euphorbiaceae.
AGUUCGUGGUGUGCGCAACAUCAGAGCAAGUCUUUGUACCUCUCCCAAGCAUCAUACAUGCUCUCGUCAUCGAACUGCACAAAAGAAGAUAUAUCAUUUCUCAAUCU